UUGUCCAGGCAAAUCCGGAUAAUCAAGGCUGAGGUGUGAUGACGAGGCACUACGGUGCUGAAGUAACAAAUGCCCUGCUUCCAGGAAAAGCCUCUAAGCAUCAGGUAACAUCAAAUCGUACCCCAAACCGACACAGGUGGUCAGGUAGAGAAUACCAAGGCGCUUGAGAGAACUCGGGUGAAGGAACUAGGCAAAAUGGUGCCGUAACUUCGGGAGAAGGCACGCUGGUGUGUAGGUGAAGUCCCUGCGGAUGGAGCUGAGACCAGUCGAAGAUACCAGCUGGCUGCAACUGUUUAUUAAAAACACAGCACUGUGCAAACACGAAAGUGGACGUAUACGGUGUGACGCCUGCCCGGUGCCGGAAGGUUAAUUGAUGGGGUUAUCCGUAAGGAGAAGCUCUUGAUCGAAGCCCCGGUAAACGGCGGCCGUAACUAUAACGGUCCUAAGGUAGCGAAAUUCCUUGUCGGGUAAGUUCCGACCUGCACGAAUGGCGUAAUGAUGGCCAGGCUGUCUCCACCCGAGACUCAGUGAAAUUGAACUCGCUGUGAAGAUGCAGUGUACCCGCGGCAAGACGGAAAGACCCCGUGAACCUUUACUAUAGCUUGACACUGAACAUUGAGCCUUGAUGUGUAGGAUAGGUGGGAGGCUUUGAAGCGUGGACGCCAGUCUGCGUGGAGCCAACCUUGAAAUACCACCCUUUAAUGUUUGAUGUUCUAACGUUGGCCCCUUACCGGGGUUGCGGACAGUGUCUGGUGGGUAGUUUGACUGGGGCGGUCUCCUCCCAAAGCGUAACGGAGGAGCACGAAGGUUAGCUAAUCCUGGUCGGACAUCAGGAGGUUAGUGCAAUGGCAUAAGCUAGCUUGACUGCGAGCGUGACGGCGCGAGCAGGUGCGAAAGCAGGUCAUAGUGAUCCGGUGGUUCUGAAUGGAAGGGCCAUCGCUCAACGGAUAAAAGGUACUCCGGGGAUAACAGGCUGAUACCGCCCAAGAGUUCAUAUCGACGGCGGUGUUUGGCACCUCGAUGUCGGCUCAUCACAUCCUGGGGCUGAAGUAGGUCCCAAGGGUAUGGCUGUUCGCCAUUUAAAGUGGUACGCGAGCUGGGUUUAGAACGUCGUGAGACAGUUCGGUCCCUAUCUGCCGUGGGCGCUGGAGAAUUGAGGGGGGCUGCUCCUAGUACGAGAGGACCGGAGUGGACGCAUCACUGGUGUUCGGGUUGUCAUGCCAAUGGCACUGCCCGGUAGCUAAAUGCGGAAGAGAUAAGUGCUGAAAGCAUCUAAGCACGAAACUUGCCCCGAGAUGAGUUCUCCCUGAGACUUUAAGUCUCCUGAAGGAACGUUAAAGACGAUGACGUUGAUAGGCCGGGUGUGUAAGCGCAGCGAUGCGUUGAGCUAACCGGUACUAAUGAACCGUGAGGCUUAACCUUACAACGCCGAAG
This 1434-nucleotide ribosomal RNA is filed under the name Klebsiella pneumoniae. Its description in RNAcentral is "bacterial LSU rRNA". It matches the Rfam family "Bacterial large subunit ribosomal RNA", at positions 1528 to 2925 of the family's 2925-position model. Lineage: Bacteria; Pseudomonadati; Pseudomonadota; Gammaproteobacteria; Enterobacterales; Enterobacteriaceae. The record is from RNAcentral.